GGGGGGGGGGGGGGGGGGGGGGGGGGGGGGGAGGGCGGGGGGGGGGGGGGGGGGGGGGGGCCGGGGGGGCGAGCGGGGGACGGGUGAGGAAGGCGGGGGGACGUGCCCCAAAGGGGGGGAUAACUGCCCGGAAGGGUAGCUAAUACCGCAGAGUAUCUUCGGGUCAAAGGAGUUGUCCGCUUUGGGAGCGGCGCGCGUCGGACUAGGUAGGUGGUGGGGUAAUGGCCCACCAAGCCGACGAUCCGUAGCUGGUCUGGGAGGAUGACCAGCCAGACUGGAACUGAGACACGGUCCAGACUCCUACGGGAGGCAGCAGUGAGGAAUCUUCCACAAUGGGCGAAAGCCUGAUGGAGCAACGCCGCGUGCAGGACGAAGGCCUUCGGGUUGUAAACUGCUUUUAUAAGUGAGGAAUAUGACGGUAACUUAUGAAUAAGGAUCGGCUAACUACGUG
Molecule: ribosomal RNA, 451 nt
Filed under: uncultured bacterium
Lineage: Bacteria
Description: partial 16S ribosomal RNA
Rfam family: Bacterial small subunit ribosomal RNA (bases 60-451)
Source: RNAcentral